GCACUGCUGAGGAGUCCCAUAAUAGGACGAAGAGGCUGUCCAGUGC
Schistosoma rodhaini is the source of this 46-nucleotide non-coding RNA. The record is from Rfam. Lineage: Eukaryota; Metazoa; Platyhelminthes; Trematoda; Strigeidida; Schistosomatidae.